This 23-nucleotide non-coding RNA is filed under the name Arabidopsis thaliana (thale cress). Lineage: Eukaryota; Viridiplantae; Streptophyta; Magnoliopsida; Brassicales; Brassicaceae. The record is from RNAcentral.
UUGAUUCUCGCCGACGAACAUGU